AUUGAACGCUGGCGGCAGGCCUAACACAUGCAAGUCGAACGGUAACAGGAAGCAGCUUGCUUCUUUGCUGACGAGUGGCGGACGGGUGAGUAAUGUCUGGGAAACUGCCUGAUGGAGGGGGAUAACUACUGGAAACGGUAGCUAAUACCGCAUAACGUCGCAAGACCAAAGAGGGGGACCUUCGGGCCUCUUGCCAUCGGCUGUGCCCAGGUGGGAUUAGCUAGUAGGUGGGGUAACGGCUCACCUAGGCGACGAUCCCUAGCUGGUCUGAGAGGAUGACCAGCCACACUGGAACUGAGACACGGUCCAGACUCCUACGGGAGGCAGCAGUGGGGAAUAUUGCACAAUGGGCGCAAGCCUGAUGCAGCCAUGCCGCGUGUAUGAAGAAGGCCUUCGGGUUGUAAAGUACUUUCAGCGGGGAGGAAGGGAGUAAAGUUAAUACCUUUACUCAUUGACGUUACCCGCAGAAGAAGCACCGGCUAACUCCGUG
RNAcentral lists this ribosomal RNA (490 nucleotides) under uncultured bacterium. RNAcentral describes it as "partial 16S ribosomal RNA". It matches the Rfam family "Bacterial small subunit ribosomal RNA", at positions 30 to 507 of the family's 1533-position model. The record is from RNAcentral.